AAAUAUGGUAGCUAGGAUAGGAGAGAGAGAGAGAGAGAGAGAGAAAAGGAAAAAGAGGUGAGAAAAUCAAUUUAGAUUAUGUGUUCUUCCAGCUUUGGCCCAAAUAGGGAGCAUCAUGGAUAGUGGAGGUAUUACCAAGGGUAGAAGGGACUCUUGUCCUUCAUCUCAUUUGAGACUCUACUGAACUGAUUGCCCUUCUGGGGUAUGGCCACAUUCACAUGGUGUGGCCCGGCAGAGAAAUAACUCAAGGUUUAGCUUUCUCGAGCCCACCUUAUUUCCACUGAGGUGUAAGGAACCCCGAAAAGAGCAGGAGUUUAUCUGGAAAGCAUCACCAGUGGGAGUUGUCAUGGUUGGGCAGGGUCAAGGUAGCUUAUAGUGAGGGCUGCAUGGUAGACCACCUGGGGCAGGCUAAGCAGGAGACAUAGCAAGGAGAAUGGAGUGUAGACCCAACAGAGGAGUCCAAAGGACCAGAGAGAGCUGGUGUGAGGGGCCCAGCCAGGCAACCAGUGGGAGAAAGCCUGGACUAUCUGACUCUCAUACAGAUACAUACAUUGGCUGUGAAUCCCGUUAGGGCAGCAGCAGCUGGAUGGCUCAGGGAUUCCCACUCAAUCUUGCUGUAACAGCCAGAGGAAUAUUAUUCUUCACCUGCCAUGAAGUCACGUAAGCUCCACCUCUCCUCUUAGAACCAGAUGUCAUCUUGGAGAGGAGCCAGGAAGGGAACAGAAGACUGAUGUGUCUGAGAGACUAAGCCUUUAUUUCCCCUUUGAGAGUAAACAUUCUUUGAAGGGACCAUUUAAAUUAUGGUGUUAUACUGAGGUUCAAACCUGAUUAGCCAUUGAGGGAAUCAGAUUGCAUUUGUGAAUAUUUUAAAAAAUCAAAUCCACUCUCAGAGGACAAAGAUUAGCUAGUUUUGAAAGACUUCAAAAAAUAUGCUAAUAUAUGACACCCAUCCAAAUGUAUCCACCCAAAUGUAAAUGAAAACAACUAUCCUAUACUUUUGUCUUUGGAAUUUGUAAACAUUGGAAAAAUAUAGAAAUUUACUGGUUAGUAGGAAAAAAGUCAUGGGCAAAUCAGGUUCAGGAAGCACAAUUAACAAGAAGAUUGAAGAAUGUGCAAGUAUCA
This 1122-nucleotide long non-coding RNA is filed under the name Marmota monax (woodchuck). The record is from RNAcentral. Lineage: Eukaryota; Metazoa; Chordata; Mammalia; Rodentia; Sciuridae.